GUGGGGAAUCUUCCGCAAUGGACGAAAGUCUGACGGAGCAACGCCGCGUGAGUGAUGAAGGUCUUCGGAUUGUAAAGCUCUGUUAAUCGGGACGAAAGAGCCUAGUGUGAAUAAUGCUAGGAAGUGACGGUACCGGAAUAGAAAGCCACGGCUAACUACGUGCCAGCAGCCGCGGUAAUACGUAGGUGGCAAGCGUUGUCCGGAAUUAUUGGGCGUAAAGCGCGCGCAGGCGGAUCUGCCAGUCUGUCUUAAAAGUUCGGGGCUUAACCCCGUGAUGGGAUGGAAACUACAGAUCUAGAGUAUCGGAGAGGAAAGUGGAAUUCCUAGUGUAGCUGUGAAAUGCGUAGAUAUUAGGAAGAACACCAGUGGCGAAGGCGACUUUCUGGACGAAAACUGACGCUGAGGCGCGAAAGCCAGGGGAGCGAACGGGAUUAGAAACCCCGGUAGUCC
This 450-nucleotide ribosomal RNA is filed under the name uncultured bacterium. RNAcentral's name for it is "partial 16S ribosomal RNA". It matches the Rfam family "Bacterial small subunit ribosomal RNA", at positions 354 to 796 of the family's 1533-position model. The record is from RNAcentral.